This 492-nucleotide ribosomal RNA is filed under the name uncultured bacterium. Its description in RNAcentral is "partial 16S ribosomal RNA". It matches the Rfam family "Bacterial small subunit ribosomal RNA", at positions 29 to 507 of the family's 1533-position model. The record is from RNAcentral.
AGUGAACGCUGGCGGUAGGCCUAACACAUGCAAGUCGAACGGCAGCACAGUAAGAGCUUGCUCUUACGGGUGGCGAGUGGCGGACGGGUGAGGAAUACAUCGGAAUCUACUUUUUCGUGGGGGAUAACGUAGGGAAACUUACGCUAAUACCGCAUACGACCUACGGGUGAAAGCAGGGGAUCUUCGGACCUUGCGCGAUUGAAUGAGCCGAUGUCGGAUUAGCUAGUUGGCGGGGUAAGGGCCCACCAAGGCGACGAUCCGUAGCUGGUCUGAGAGGAUGAUCAGCCACACUGGAACUGAGACACGGUCCAGACUCCUACGGGAGGCAGCAGUGGGGAAUAUUGGACAAUGGGCGCAAGCCUGAUCCAGCCAUACCGCGUGGGUGAAGAAGGCCUUCGGGUUGUAAAGCCCUUUUGUUGGGAAAGAAAAGCAGCAGGUUAAUACCCCGCUGUUCUGACGGUACCCAAAGAAUAAGCGCCGGCUAACUUCGUG